Molecule: long non-coding RNA, 316 nt
Organism: Sorex fumeus (smoky shrew)
Lineage: Eukaryota; Metazoa; Chordata; Mammalia; Eulipotyphla; Soricidae
Exons: 4
Source: RefSeq, a predicted model, not a curated record
GCGCGGUGGCUCCCCGGCCAGGUGCCGGUGCGAGGCUGGAGCGCGGGCGCGCGCCGGCCCGCAGGUAUUCCUCUGAUCAACGCAUGGUGACUUCGCUCUUCUGCCUGAGAGUGGUUCAAAAUAAUGUUUAAAGUCAUGUGGACUUGCUUCACAUAAUAAGAUGCAUUUUCCAACUGGAGACGGAUUUGUAUCUACUCAGAGGCGACCUCAAAAGGAGGAGCAAGCAGGACUGGGAAGGUCUCAGAAUGAAGAACGAAACAGAAUAUCCUCUUUUGUGUCCAGGACAAGGUCAGAACGAGUCUAGUCAUACCUACAG